Bombyx mori (domestic silkworm) is the source of this 4903-nucleotide long non-coding RNA. RefSeq lists it as uncharacterized. NCBI's taxonomy places the organism in Eukaryota, Metazoa, Arthropoda, Insecta, Lepidoptera, Bombycidae. The record is from RefSeq and is a predicted model, not a curated record. The transcript has 2 exons.
CCCCUCAAAAAAAUUUUUUUUUCCUGUUUUCUACUUAUUUUCUAUUAAUUCGUUUGUUCAUCAUUUGUUCUUGAUUGUUCACUGUUAAUAAUUGUUUGUUCCCCAUUUAUUUAUUUAAAAAAAAAUAUUAAAAAUAUAUCUAAAAGUUAGCCCCUCGAUUGCAAUUUAUAAUAUUUUUUCGUCCUUAAUUACUCGUAAAUAUUCAUUUUCGAUUGUUCUUAUAUAAAAUACGUUUGUUCUCUUUCGAAAUUACUCAUUUUUUGUUUAAUUAAUUGUAUUAGUUGAAUAAAUGUAUACAAAAUAUGUGUACUGCGCAUGCCAUAAGUGUAUAAUCUAUGGCGCAUGCGUCAACUAUAAUGCCUAAACUUUCUACGCGGUUUUAAUCGUGAAAAAAAAACAAUUAUAAAUCCUGAAGGAUCAAUUAAUUGGUAUACAGUUUAAUUAAAAAAAUUAAAAAAUAAAUAAAUAAAAUAAUGUGCAUUCGCGUAAAGUUAGACCAAAUACAUUUUUUCCAUCCUCCUAUAUACUUAUCGCUAUGAAGGUAUAAAAAAGAUAGGUUAAGAGUUCACAUAGGUAAUAUAAACAAAUAAGUAAAUAUGUUCAUUAUUUAUCUUUCAAGAGAUAAUGUAGGUAUACAUUAUAAUAACAUUUUGACACAGUCGAAAUUAUAUUCCUAACAUUAGUAAAAUAACAUUUUAAUAUUUUUUUUAUAGGUUAUGUAUUGAAAUUGUUGGAAAAUUAUUUCAUGUUUUAGCUGGAAAACGACAUGGAGAAUUAUAUGCAAUACAAGAUAAUGAGCUCCAUCAAAUGAAUUCGAAUGAAACCAAACUGUUUACCAUCCAAAUUCGAUUGUCGGGCAGAUAGAAAACGAAAAUUCACUCAUAGUGAACCUCGGCCUGCAUUUGUGAAACGGCAAAGACUCACUAUUAUCAAGGAAAUUGAAGAGACGACUAAAAAUGAGAUGUGUCGUAUUAUUAUACCUUUGCCAUCUUGUAGUCAAGAUGUCCAGCCACUUGAAAAUAGGUGUAGUAAUGACAAAGCUAUCCAAGUAGCUCCAGCACAGGAACACAAAGGCAAGGCAAGUGUGUAUUGCCACAUCACCCCUUAAUAUAUCUGAAGCAAGUAUAAGUAAACAAUCAGAACCAGCAAAAAAAAAACUGUUGUUCCUGAGGAUAAUACUUUCGAAUAACAUAAACACGUGACUUUAAGCAUAAACAUAUUUUUUAGGUAAAUACUUUAUUUAGCUUUUCUUGAUUUAUCCAAGAUUUCGACAUACCAAAAUUUCAUACAGGAACGACAGAUAGAUAGCUAUCUGAUUGAAUACCCUUGUAGAAUUGAGCUUCGAAGAAAAGUUUAUUCUUAUUCUUUUUUUUUUUUUUUUUUAUUGCCUUUGUAAGCAGACGGGCAUACGGCCCACCUGAUGGUGAGUGGUUACCGUCGCCCAUGGACUUCAGCAAUGCCAGGGGCAGAGCCAAGCCGCUGCCUACCGCUUAAUACUCUCCACAAGCCUCGUUUGAAGAAGGACAUGUCAUAGCGCUCGGGAAACACCGAGGAGGGGAGCUCAUUCCAUAGCCGGAUGGUACGUGGCAAAAAAGAUCUCUGGAAACGCACUGUGGAUGACCGCAGCGGCUCCAGGUAGUAUGGAUGAACUCUACUCCGGUGGCGGGCGGUGCGAUGGUAAAAACGAGAUGCUGGUAUCAUCUCGAACAAUUCCUCAGAGCACUCCCCAUGGAACAUACGGUAUAAAAUACAGAGGGAACCGAAGUCCCUCCGCAGACCCAGAGGCUCCAAACGAUCCGAGAGAAUGGGAUUAUCGACAAUCCGAACGGCCCUCCUCUGUAUGGAGUCAAAUGGAAGAAGCUGGUAUUUGGGAGCCCCGGCCCAGAGAUGGGAGCAGUACUCCAUGCGAGGCCGGACUUGUGCUUUAUAAAGCAAAAGUCUUUGUCCAGGCGUGAAGUACCGCUUCGCUCUGUUGAGGACUCCCAGCAUUUUGGACGCCAACUUGGCUUUGCCUUCCAAAUGACUCCGAAACUGGACAUCGCUCGAAACGUCGACCCCAAGUAUCCCGAUACUCUCGGAAGGUUGCAGGGAUACUCCUUGGAAUUGCGGCGCCAUGACAAAGGGGUCCUUCUUCGCAGUGAACGCGCAAACUUGUGUCUUUAUCGGGUUGAAUUGAACCAUGUUCAAUUCACCCCAUUCGGAGACUCGCCCCAGAGAGUUCUCCACUUCAGACACAAGUUUUGAUCGUCUCUCUUGCACCACGCUCCGAGAGAGACUCUGAUGGCCGAUAUAUCGCGCAUCCCUCGUGCUAUCAUCUGCAUAGCAAUGCAUGCCAUCAAUAGACAGCAUGUCAUUGAUAUACAGGAUGAAAAGCGUGGGGGAGAGCACCGAACCUUGUGGAACGCCAGCGUUAAUGGUCAUGGUAUCAGAACAGUCACCGUCUACAACGACCGUGAUGCUCCGCCCAUCCAAAAAGCUAGCGAUCCACUUGCAGAGACCCUCGGGGAUUCCGUAAGAUGGUAACUUCGAUAGAAGUGCCCUAUGCCAGACCCUGUCGAAGGCCUUCGCGAUAUCAAGGCUCACAGCAAGAGCCUCGCCCUUGCUCUCCAAGGUUUCAGCCCACCUGUGAGUAAGGUAUACAAGAAGAUCGCCAGCUGAGCGACCGUGACGGAAACCGUACUGUCGGUCACUGAUCAGCUGGCGAUCUUCAAGAUACUUCAGGAGUUGUGUGUUUAUAAUUCGCUCCAUCACCUUGGAAAGCAAGGAAGUUAUCGCGAUAGGCCUGUAGCUCGAUGGAUCCGACCGGUCACCCUUCUUGGGGAUAGGGUGGACGUGGGCGGUCUUCCAUGAAGACGGAACUCUGUUAGUGCAAUAAGAGAGGCGAUACAAACGCGUUAGCGCAGGUGUCAGCUCAGGGGCGCACGUUUUCAAAACCACUGCGGGGAUGCCGUCUGGCCCACUCGACUUAUGGACGUCCAGGAGUCGGAGCUCCCGCCUGACUGCACACUGUGUGAAGCAGAUAUCCGGCAGGGAGCUAUCACACCGGGGGAUGUUCGGUGGUGUGGCACCCCCGUCGUCCACAGUCGAGUUCGAGGCGAAGAGAUUGACCAGAAGGUCAGCCUUCUCUUUCGCGCUGUGGGCCAGAUUGUCAUCGGACUUGCGCAGUGGUGGGAGACUAGACCUGCAAAAGUUUCCUUCUGCAGCUUUGGCGAGCGACCAAAAAGCACGGCUCCCGGAGGGAUAGCUCUUCAAUCGCUCGCCAACUCUAGCAACGUGCUCCGACUUCGCCUUGGCAAUUACCUUCUUGUAGGACCUGGAAGCGGCGUUAUAUUUCCGCCUUUCCCCUGAGAUGUUAGGAUCCCGACGUCUCCUGGCAUUAUCCCAUGCCACGUAUGCGGACCGCUUGAGGCGUGCAGCAUCCCUGCUGGCAUUGUUAUACCAGGGUCUGCUGCGACCCCCAACGGGCACUUCAGAAGAGGGAAUAAACAAUUCCAUCCCCUGGAGCACCACGUCUUUAAGACGGUCCGCACAGACGUCAGGAUCAGCAGAGGAAAAGCAGAACCGCCCCCAUGGGUAGGAUGCGUAAAAUUCACGCAGUCCAUCCCAAUCUGCUGACAUAUACCGCCAAACUCUUCGAUACCCGGUCGUCGUUCGACGAUCAGGACGAGAGAGUGGUACGGCAGCACGAAUAAGGCAGUGAUCAGACGAUCCAAGCGGAGCGUCGACCACCACACUGUAUCCGGCCGGAUCUGUGGUCAGCAGAAGGUCCAACAAAGAAGGCUCGUGCCCCUCGAUAUCUGGGACACGGGUGGGCUGUGUCACCAGCUGGGAGAAGCCGUAGGCCAAGGCGAAAUCGUAGGCAGUCCGACCCGGGAGGUCAGUGGUUCUGGACCCCAACCACUCUUGGUGGUGAGCGUUAAAGUCUCCAAGAACCACCACCUCCGCAGAUGGGUACUGCUCAAGCACGCGGCUAGUCCCCUCUUGCACAUGCUCAAACAGAGCUGAACCUGCAUCACUGCUGUGGGACCUGUACAGGCACGCGUAGAUUCGGCUAUUCUUUAUUAGACUUUAUUCUAGUUGCAGUGUCGGUUAGAGAAGCUGUGCAAGCUUCUCUAACCGAUACUGCAUGGAAUAAAUAGUCAUUAUAAUUAUAAAAUAUAUUUCUGUUUACAUACCAUACAAUUUUCAUAGUUCAAAUAUGAAUUUGGAUUGAUAUGAAUUUAUUUCGAUUAUCAAAAUAAUUUGUAUUAAACAUUUAUAUUUCCUCAAAAUUUCUAUAUUUAUAAUAAUGACUGUGACCACCCCAUAAAUCACAAAAUUAAAAAUAUUAAAGAUAACUUAUUUUUAAAUCAUAUAUUAAAAAUGAUAAACAGAUCGCGAAUUAAAAUAUUAUAUUAUGCCUAUCAUUCGUAAAUAAUUCAGUAAUGAAUUUUCGCAUCGCCGCGCCGUAUAUAAUUAAUAUGAAUAAUAGGGUAUUGCCCACUGUGCUAAAAAAAACAUAAAUUAUGUUUUUUUGAUAGAUCUACAAACAAGCAAGUGAGUAAUGCUAUGUUUCCAUAAAUAAAACGGCAAAAAAAAUUAAAGAAAGAUAUUAUGCACAAGUUCAAAUGCAUAUGUAUUGUGCUAAAAGUAAAACUUGCUACUUUUGUGUAGCAUCCAGCAACUUUGAAAAAAAUAAUCAGGUCACUAUAAUUAGUAGGUAUUGAUUUUGAUUCCGAGUAAGUUGCACAGUUGUUAGAUAAUGUAGUUUCUUUUUGGAAGAAUAACAAUUUUCUAAUCUUACACAAAAAUGUAAUGUUAAAUAUUUGAAAAAAACUUUAUACCUAUUUUCCUUUUAGGGAGUACAAAAUAUUGAUGUGUACAAAGUGAAUGUGAUUUAAUAAAAAUAAUAUUUCAAUUUAAA